UACGGAGGGUGCAAGCGUUAUCCGGAUUCACUGGGUUUAAAGGGUGCGUAGGCGGGCAUUUAAGUCAGUGGUGAAAUACCUGAGCUUAACUUGGGAACUGCCAUUGAUACUAUUUGUCUUGAAUGUCGUGGAGGUUAGCGGAAUAUGUCAUGUAGCGGUGAAAUGCUUAGAUAUGACAUAGAACACCGAUUGCGAAGGCAGCUAACUACGCGAAUAUUGACGCUGAGGCACGAAAGCGUGGGGAUCAAACAGG
RNAcentral lists this ribosomal RNA (253 nucleotides) under uncultured bacterium. RNAcentral describes it as "partial 16S ribosomal RNA". It matches the Rfam family "Bacterial small subunit ribosomal RNA", at positions 524 to 776 of the family's 1533-position model. The record is from RNAcentral.